AUUCCAGCUCCAAUAGCGUAUAUUAAAGUUGUUGCAGUUAAAAAGCUCGUAGUUGGAUUUGUGGUGGUGCCUGCGGUCCAAAAUGUUUUGGUGCUGUCGGGCACUGCCAUCCUUGGGUGGAACCUGUGGGGCAUUAGGUUGUUUUGCAGGGGAUGCCCAUCGUUUACUGUGAAAAAAUUAGAGUGUUCAAAGCAGGCUUACGCCGUUGAAUAUAUUAGCAUGGAAUAAUGAGAUAGGACUCUGGUGCUAUUUUGUUGGUUUGCGCACCGAAGUAAUGAUUAAUAGGGACAGUUGGGGGUAUUCGUAUUCCAUUGUCAGAGGUGAAAUUCUUGGAUUUUUGGAAGACGAACUACUGCGAAAGCAUUUACCAAGGAUGUU
This 378-nucleotide ribosomal RNA is filed under the name Caloneis fontinalis. RNAcentral describes it as "SSU rRNA". It matches the Rfam family "Eukaryotic small subunit ribosomal RNA", at positions 582 to 968 of the family's 1831-position model. Lineage: Eukaryota; Bacillariophyta; Bacillariophyceae; Sellaphorales; Pinnulariaceae. The record is from RNAcentral.